UGUUUCCUUCGGGGUAGGGUGCAAUUCCCAACCGGCGGUGAUCAAGUGAAUACUUGUAAGCCCGCGACCUGCAGAGUAUGUACUUUGUGGCUGAUUUGGUGCGAGACCAGAGCCGACGGUAAGAGUCCGGAUGGGAGAAGGAAUAG
RNAcentral lists this non-coding RNA (146 nucleotides) under Pontibacillus yanchengensis. Its description in RNAcentral is "FMN sequence". It matches the Rfam family "FMN riboswitch aptamer (RFN element)". From Rfam's summary of the family: The RFN element is a highly conserved domain that is found frequently in the 5'-untranslated regions of prokaryotic mRNAs that encode for flavin mononucleotide (FMN) biosynthesis and transport proteins. This element is a metabolite-dependent riboswitch that directly binds FMN in the absence of proteins. In Bacillus subtilis, the riboswitch most likely controls gene expression by causing premature transcription termination within the 5' untranslated region of the ribDEAHT operon and precluding access to the ribosome-binding site of ypaA mRNA. The record is from RNAcentral. RNAcentral also lists the same sequence under 1 other name. Lineage: Bacteria; Bacillati; Bacillota; Bacilli; Caryophanales; Bacillaceae.